This 2621-nucleotide ribosomal RNA is filed under the name Shigella flexneri. RNAcentral describes it as "partial 23S ribosomal RNA". It matches the Rfam family "Bacterial large subunit ribosomal RNA". Lineage: Bacteria; Pseudomonadati; Pseudomonadota; Gammaproteobacteria; Enterobacterales; Enterobacteriaceae. The record is from RNAcentral.
UGGCAGUCAGAGGCGAUGAAGGACGUGCUAAUCUGCGAUAAGCGUCGGUAAGGUGAUAUGAACCGUUAUAACCGGCGAUUUCCGAAUGGGGAAACCCAGUGUGAUUCGUCACACUAUCAUUAACUGAAUCCAUAGGUUAAUGAGGCGAACCGGGGGAACUGAAACAUCUAAGUACCCCGAGGAAAAGAAAUCAACCGAGAUUCCCCCAGUAGCGGCGAGCGAACGGGGAGCAGCCCAGAGCCUGAAUCAGUGUGUGUGUUAGUGGAAGCGUCUGGAAAGGCGUGCGAUACAGGGUGACAGCCCCGUACACAAAAAUGCACAUACUGUGAGCUCGAUGAGUAGGGCGGGACACGUGGUAUCCUGUCUGAAUAUGGGGGGACCAUCCUCCAAGGCUAAAUACUCCUGACUGACCGAUAGUGAACCAGUACCGUGAGGGAAAGGCGAAAAGAACCCCGGCGAGGGGAGUGAAAAAGAACCUGAAACCGUGUACGUACAAGCAGUGGGAGCACGCUUAGGCGUGUGACUGCGUACCUUUUGUAUAAUGGGUCAGCGACUUAUAUUCUGUAGCAAGGUUAACCGAAUAGGGGAGCCGAAGGGAAACCGAGUCUUAACUGGGCGUUAAGUUGCAGGGUAUAGACCCGAAACCCGGUGAUCUAGCCAUGGGCAGGUUGAAGGUUGGGUAACACUAACUGGAGGACCGAACCGACUAAUGUUGAAAAAUUAGCGGAUGACUUGUGGCUGGGGGUGAAAGGCCAAUCAAACCGGGAGAUAGCUGGUUCUCCCCGAAAGCUAUUUAGGUAGCGCCUCGUGAAUUCAUCUCCGGGGGUAGAGCACUGUUUCGGCAAGGGGGUCAUCCCGACUUACCAACCCGAUGCAAACUGCGAAUACCGGAGAAUGUUAUCACGGGAGACACACGGCGGGUGCUAACGUCCGUCGUGAAGAGGGAAACAACCCAGACCGCCAGCUAAGGUCCCAAAGUCAUGGUUAAGUGGGAAACGAUGUGGGAAGGCCCAGACAGCCAGGAUGUUGGCUUAGAAGCAGCCAUCAUUUAAAGAAAGCGUAAUAGCUCACUGGUCGAGUCGGCCUGCGCGGAAGAUGUAACGGGGCUAAACCAUGCACCGAAGCUGCGGCAGCGACGCUUAUGCGUUGUUGGGUAGGGGAGCGUUCUGUAAGCCUGUGAAGGUGUGCUGUGAGGUAUGCUGGAGGUAUCAGAAGUGCGAAUGCUGACAUAAGUAACGAUAAAGCGGGUGAAAAGCCCGCUCGCCGGAAGACCAAGGGUUCCUGUCCAACGUUAAUCGGGGCAGGGUGAGUCGACCCCUAAGGCGAGGCCGAAAGGCGUAGUCGAUGGGAAACAGGUUAAUAUUCCUGUACUUGGUGUUACUGCGAAGGGGGGACGGAGAAGGCUAUGUUGGCCGGGCGACGGUUGUCCCGGUUUAAGCGUGUAGGCUGGUUUUCCAGGCAAAUCCGGAAAAUCAAGGCCGAGGCGUGAUGACGAGGCACUACGGUGCUGAAGCAACAAAUGCCCUGCUUCCAGGAAAAGCCUCUAAGCAUCAGGUAACAUCAAAUCGUACCCCAAACCGACACAGGUGGUCAGGUAGAGAAUACCAAGGCGCUUGAGAGAACUCGGGUGAAGGAACUAGGCAAAAUGGUGCCGUAACUUCGGGAGAAGGCACGCUGAUACGUAGGUGAAGCGACUUGCUCGUGGAGCUGAAAUCAGUCGAAGAUACCAGCUGGCUGCAACUGUUUAUUAAAAACACAGCACUGUGCAAACACGAAAGUGGACGUAUACGGUGUGACGCCUGCCCGGUGCCGGAAGGUUAAUUGAUGGGGUUAGCGCAAGCGAAGCUCUUGAUCGAAGCCCCGGUAAACGGCGGCCGUAACUAUAACGGUCCUAAGGUAGCGAAAUUCCUUGUCGGGUAAGUUCCGACCUGCACGAAUGGCGUAAUGAUGGCCAGGCUGUCUCCACCCGAGACUCAGUGAAAUUGAACUCGCUGUGAAGAUGCAGUGUACCCGCGGCAAGACGGAAAGACCCCGUGAACCUUUACUAUAGCUUGACACUGAACAUUGAGCCUUGAUGUGUAGGAUAGGUGGGAGGCUUUGAAGUGUGGACGCCAGUCUGCAUGGAGCCGACCUUGAAAUACCACCCUUUAAUGUUUGAUGUUCUAACGUGGACCCGUGAUCCGGGUUGCGGACAGUGUCUGGUGGGUAGUUUGACUGGGGCGGUCUCCUCCUAAAGAGUAACGGAGGAGCACGAAGGUUGGCUAAUCCUGGUCGGACAUCAGGAGGUUAGUGCAAUGGCAUAAGCCAGCUUGACUGCGAGCGUGACGGCGCGAGCAGGUGCGAAAGCAGGUCAUAGUGAUCCGGUGGUUCUGAAUGGAAGGGCCAUCGCUCAACGGAUAAAAGGUACUCCGGGGAUAACAGGCUGAUACCGCCCAAGAGUUCAUAUCGACGGCGGUGUUUGGCACCUCGAUGUCGGCUCAUCACAUCCUGGGGCUGAAGUAGGUCCCAAGGGUAUGGCUGUUCGCCAUUUAAAGUGGUACGCGAGCUGGGUUUAGAACGUCGUGAGACAGUUCGGUCCCUAUCUGCCGUGGGCGCUGGAGAACUGAGGGGGGCUGCUCCUA